This 1438-nucleotide ribosomal RNA is filed under the name uncultured organism. RNAcentral describes it as "16S ribosomal RNA". It matches the Rfam family "Bacterial small subunit ribosomal RNA". The record is from RNAcentral.
UGAACGCUAGCUACAGGCUUAACACAUGCAAGUCGAGGGGCAGCAUUUUAGUUUGCUUGCAAACUAAAGAUGGCGACCGGCGCACGGGUGAGUAACACGUAUCCAACCUGCCGAUAACUCGGGGAUAGCCUUUCGAAAGAAAGAUUAAUAUCCGAUAGUAUAUUAAAACCGCAUGGUUUUACUAUUAAAGAAUUUCGGUUAUCGAUGGGGAUGCGUUCCAUUAGUUUGUUGGCGGGGUAACGGCCCACCAAGACUACGAUGGAUAGGGGUUCUGAGAGGAAGGUCCCCCACAUUGGAACUGAGACACGGUCCAAACUCCUACGGGAGGCAGCAGUGAGGAAUAUUGGUCAAUGGACGAGAGUCUGAACCAGCCAAGUAGCGUAAAGGAUGACUGCCCUAUGGGUUGUAAACUUCUUUUAUAUGGGAAUAAAGUAUUCCACGUGUGGAAUUUUGUAUGUACCAUAUGAAUAAGGAUCGGCUAACUCCGUGCCAGCAGCCGCGGUAAUACGGAGGAUCCGAGCGUUAUCCGGAUUUAUUGGGUUUAAAGGGAGCGUAGGUGGAUUGUUAAGUCAGUUGUGAAAGUUUGCGGCUCAACCGUAAAAUUGCAGUUGAAACUGGCAGUCUUGAGUACAGUAGAGGUGGGCGGAAUUCGUGGUGUAGCGGUGAAAUGCUUAGAUAUCACGAAGAACUCCGAUUGCGAAGGCAGCUCACUAGACUGCAACUGACACUGAUGCUCGAAAGUGUGGGUAUCAAACAGGAUUAGAUACCCUGGUAGUCCACACAGUAAACGAUGAAUACUCGCUGUUUGCGAUAUACAGUAAGCGGCCAAGCGAAAGCAUUAAGUAUUCCACCUGGGGAGUACGCCGGCAACGGUGAAACUCAAAGGAAUUGACGGGGGCCCGCACAAGCGGAGGAACAUGUGGUUUAAUUAGAUGAUACGCGAGGAACCUUACCCGGGCUUAAAUUGCAUUUGAAUAAUCUGGAAACAGGUUAGCCGCAAGGCAAAUGUGAAGGUGCUGCAUGGUUGUCGUCAGCUCGUGCCGUGAGGUGUUGGCUUAAGUGCCAUAACGAGCGCAACCCUUAUCUUUAGUUACUAACAGGUCAUGCUGAGGACUCUAGAGAGACUGCCGUGGUAAGAUGUGAGGAAGGUGGGGAUGACGUCAAAUCAGCACGGCCCUUACGUCCGGGGCUACACACGUGUUACAAUGGGGGGUACAGAAGGCAGCUACCUGGUGACAGGAUGCUAAUCCCAAAAACCUCUCUCAGUUCGGAUGGAAGUCUGCAACCCGACUUCGUGAAGCUGGAUUCGCUAGUAAUCGCGCAUCAGCCAUGGCGCGGUGAAUACGUUCCCGGGCCUUGUACACACCGCCCGUCAAGCCAUGAAAGCCGGGGGUACCUGAAGUACGUAACCGCAAGGAGCGUCCUAGGGUAAAACUGA